GACGAACGCUGGCGGCGUGCCUAAUACAUGCAAGUUGAGCGAUGAAGCUUGGUGCUUGCCCCAAUUUGAAGAGCAGCGAACGGGUGAGUAACGCGUGGGGAAUCUGCCUUUGAGCGGGGGACAACAUUUGGAAACGAAUGCUAAUACCGCAUAACAACUUUAAACAUAAGUUUUAAGUUUGAAAGAUGCAAUUGCAUCACUCAAAGAUGAUCCCGCGUUGUAUUAGCUAGUUGGUGAGGUAAAGGCUCACCAAGGCGAUGAUACAUAGCCGACCUGAGAGGGUGAUCGGCCACAUUGGGACUGAGACACGGCCCAAACUCCUACGGGAGGCAGCAGUAGGGAAUCUUCGGCAAGGGACGAAAGUCUGACCGAGCAACGCCGCGUGAGUGAAGAAGGGUGUCGGAUCGUAAAACUCGGUUGGUAGAGAAGAACGUUGGUGAGAGUGGAAAGCUCAUCAAGUGACGGUAACUACCCAGAAAGGGACGGCUAACUACGUG
This 497-nucleotide ribosomal RNA is filed under the name uncultured bacterium. RNAcentral describes it as "partial 16S ribosomal RNA". It matches the Rfam family "Bacterial small subunit ribosomal RNA", at positions 28 to 507 of the family's 1533-position model. The record is from RNAcentral.